RNAcentral lists this ribosomal RNA (436 nucleotides) under uncultured Alphaproteobacteria bacterium. RNAcentral's name for it is "bacterial SSU rRNA". It matches the Rfam family "Bacterial small subunit ribosomal RNA", at positions 46 to 526 of the family's 1533-position model. The record is from RNAcentral. Lineage: Bacteria; Pseudomonadati; Pseudomonadota; Alphaproteobacteria.
GCUUAACACAUGCAAGUCGAGCGGGCGUAGCAAUACGUCAGCGGCAGACGGGUGAGUAACGCGUGGGAACGUACCUUUUGGUUCGGAACAACACAGGGAAACUUGUGCUAAUACCGGAUAAGCCCUUACGGGGAAAGAUUUAUCGCCGAAAGAUUGGCCCGCGUCUGAUUAGCUAGUUGGUGAGGUAAUGGCUCACCAAGGCGACGAUCAGUAGCUGGUCUGAGAGGAUGAUCAGCCACAUUGGGACUGAGACACGGCCCAAACUCCUACGGGAGGCAGCAGUGGGGAAUAUUGGACAAUGGGCGCAAGCCUGAUCCAGCCAUGCCGCGUGAGUGAUGAAGGCCCUAGGGUUGUAAAGCUCUUUUGUGCGGGAAGAUAAUGACGGUACCGCAAGAAUAAGCCCCGGCUAACUUCGUGCCAGCAGCCGCGGUAAUAC